Long non-coding RNA from Biomphalaria glabrata, 3475 nucleotides. RefSeq lists it as uncharacterized. Lineage: Eukaryota; Metazoa; Mollusca; Gastropoda; Planorbidae. The record is from RefSeq and is a predicted model, not a curated record. The transcript is spliced from 9 exons.
UGUGGAUGACUGCCUGGUCGUGCGGUUUGCGCACUCGACUGUCAUUUGAAUUUAUUGAUGGUCAUGGGCUCAAACCAUGCCCACUCCUGCGGGAGGUCUUCAUGUCUGACCAAACUAUGAUAUCUAGAUCUAUAUGGUGACUAUGACUAUGAGUAAACUAAGGGACAGUCUACUAGAGUCUAGAUCGGAAUCUAGAUCAAGUAUUACAGUAAGACUACGGUAUUAGUGACAGUAAGAAAGCCAAAGUGCUGCCUGUAAUCCUGUAUUGUUGCAUGAUUUAGAAUCUUAGUGCAUCCAGAAAUCCAGUCCAUUCCUGUAUGAUUUAUGUAUAUGAUGAUCAAGUCAUGUAUAUUUAUCACAUAUGAUGUCAAGAUGAUGAAAUUUAUCACUACAUCUAGAUCUUAUUUAACCUAUUUAAUACAAAAUAGUUAUUUUGAAAGAAAUACUGUUAAAAGACAUCGUAAAAUAUGAAUAGAGCAAAUUUUUUUUGUUGUUUUAAUGUCAUUAUUUUUCAGUCAUUUUGCAGGAAACACUGUCCAUCCAUCCAUCCCAAUGGCACUACAGCCCAUGGAGGGCUUUAGCUGGCUUCAACACAUCCCUCCAUUCAGAUCUCUCCUUAGCCUUUUAUCUCUGUCACUAUCUGUGGGUCUUCAUACAGUUGAUAUAUCUCAUGGUAUGAAGUCACUUAUACUAGUGAGGCACUAGGCUUAACCAGUAACUAUGUCCUGAGAGAAGUGAAAGGGGAUCGUCCAGAUGUACAGGAUAUGAUUAUCCUGAUCACGGGCCGAAAGUUAUCAUUUCCUUUUUCCACGAAAAGGGAAGCAGAGAAGUUAAAAAGGAAAACAUCCUUAAAGACAUGUCCAAACCUCCCGCAGGGUGACGGGGAUGGGAGCAGGCAGGGUUUGAACUAGAGACCAUCGAUAAAUCCGAUCGACAGUCCAGCGCGCAAACUGCACGACCUGGCAGUCAGGAUCGUUAUCUGGGUACAUCUCUUAUGGCUAAAAUGACCAGUGUGUGUGUUUUGUAUCAAGGAUAUGCAUGUUGUUGGUUUUGAAAAAAUGUUUGAUGUGACUGCCAAGGCUUUUUACAAAUCUUUUGUAUCACAUACAACUCAAUUUACUUCUAUUGGCUGGAAAUAUUUAAAGCAUGACAGUGGCAUAGGUAAAUUACCAAAUAGUGGAUCUUAUGUUGGAUUGAUCAGCCCUGAUGAACUGACCUGACCAUUGUAAUUGAAACCAUAACUCAUGACCACUCUAUCUGUAUAGGUCCUGGUAUACCCUGGGAUGAUGUUCACCCACAACUUUUAACUUGAAAUCUUAAAGGAAGUUUUGCUAAACUAACAAGCAUGAAUGUCUGGUACAGUAAGAUAGGGUUAAUGGUCAACCUGACAUUAUGGUUCAUUCAUUGGGACAGCUAAUGUUUGUGUCUGACCUAGCAGUUCUCAAGUUAGGGCUUGAUGAAGUCUACAAACUGACCACUAUAUCUACUGGACAAAAAGGAUCAUGUUCUGACCCCCUCCCUCCCAACCAUUUUCUCUGCCUUAUCUUGAUGACUUUGAAGGGUACAAAUGCACUUGGAGCUUUUGAUGGUGUUCUGUUCAAUGCAACAAUUCCCACAUCUCCAGCAGCUGGCUUUGCAGCUAUUGGCGCAGACAGUUAUGGCUUGGAUGAUUUUGAUAAUUAUCUGCUUCCGCUCUUCAAAACUCAAACGCACGUCUGCCAUGUUGCAGUUAAUUCCUUGCCACUCUGGUACUGUGUGUGGUACAGAACCACCUUCACAUUUAUUUUUCUAAUUAGACAUUAAGCUUUCCAUGUGCUGAAAUUUAGCAUUGUAGAACCAUAACUAUUAACCUUUUAGAUUGUUAUCUUUCGUAAUGUUAAGACUAGAAAACAAGAUCUCAAAAUUAUAUUUAGGACGAGGAUUACAAUUACUUAGUCAAUUACUUAGAUAAAAUAAUUAUAAAACAAAAGUUAUAUAAAGACAUAAUUAUACAAUGUUUAUGUUUUGUAUGUUCAUAAAAAUGUGUAUAGCAGUGUUAUGGAGUGUGUGUGUGGGUGUUUCCAAGGUAACGUUGAGAAAUUAGCGAUUGGUUGGUGGAUAUGCAGUGAGGAUGGUGAAAUUACAAAAAUGGUCUAGUGUAAUGCAAAUUACCCAGGGAUCUGAAACUGUACAGACAGGUUUUUUGUAGUGAGUUAGAUUUUGUUUAAAAUACCAUUUUAUGUUAUUGCUACUAGAUUUAUUUCAUUUCAUCUAGGUUAGUAUUAGGGUUAGUGUUAUGUUGUAAUAAAAGUUAUAUUUAGUUUUGUUUCAUAAAAAGAAGAUUUUUCAAGUUUCACAAUUAAAUAUAUAUAUAUAUAUAUCCAAGCAGUAGUUCUCACCAAACUUUCAUACGCUGGCAGAACUACCUUAAAAAAAAAUGUUCUGCUGGAGGCUGGUGUGGGUAGUAUAGAAGAAAUACUUAUCAUUCAACAGCUGUGAUGAGUUGGAUAAUUAUCCCACAUGGGGGGCGACUGCAUGCCAAAUGGUAUCUUCAAGGAUGGCAUAACGGGGUGCUCCUGUAAGCACUAUAAAGAUUAACUCAGGCACCUUUUUGCCAUAGAGGAAAGUAGGUUGUAAUAGGGUUUCUGAAAACACUGCACUCAUCUUUUAUCUUCAGCAUCAUUAUUAUUAUUAAACCAUUACUCAAAUUUUGCUUUGUUAUUUUGCCAUGUAGAGAUUUACUGCUGGGGUGAACAAUGCUUAAAAAAAUACAAAUAUGCUGUGUUUUUACUUUGGCUCAGCGUUGGCUCCCACAUUUAUGUCUUUUGUAUUUUUCUAUUAUACCAGUUCUGUUACUAUGCAAAUGCAAAAAAAAAAAAAAAAUACAAGUUGUUGCACUAUUGAUAUUUUUUAUACUAAUUUUUUAUUUAUAUUAUUAAUUAUUUAUUAUUAUCUAAGCAUCUGUUUGUAUUUGAGCUGGGUAAUGAAUAUAGAUUCUUAAAUUUAAUUGUUGUUUGUUGCUUUCCUCACUUUUAAACUGUGACCAUGUAAAUUUUGUCUAGAUGGAGAAUGGUAAUGUAUUAGUGUCAAUGAUUACAUUGAGAAUGGUAAUGUCUUAGUGCCAAUGAUAACAGUGAGACAAUCAUUAGAUUGAGGAUGGUAAUGUCUUAGUGUCAAUGGUGUAACACUAUGAUUAGAGUGAGAUGGACGAGAUGAUUUCAGUUCACGUGAAAAUGGGUCUUACACAUUGUCAAGCAAAGAGGUACCAUUUUUGAUCACACGACCACUUUUUUUUUAGUAAGUUAGCGCCAUGAUGUAUCAAGAGACGGAGGUGUCUCUGUUUUAUGAAAUUGGAUUAAAUAAUAUGAGUACCUAAUUGGAGCUUUUUCUAUGGAUGUAGUUUGUAUUUGAUAUGAAAUAAUUCGUGAUGCUAUUUUAUGGCUGAGAUUGCCUACUUUCUGAACUAUUAUUUGAUGUAAUAAAUAUUUGUCUGACA